RNAcentral lists this transfer RNA (75 nucleotides) under Dysgonomonadaceae bacterium zrk40. RNAcentral's name for it is "tRNA-Val". It matches the Rfam family "tRNA". Rfam says of the family: Transfer RNA (tRNA) molecules are approximately 80 nucleotides in length. Their secondary structure includes four short double-helical elements and three loops (D, anti-codon, and T loops). The record is from RNAcentral. Lineage: Bacteria; Pseudomonadati; Bacteroidota; Bacteroidia; Bacteroidales; Dysgonomonadaceae.
GAACCGUUAGCUCAGCUGGUUUAGAGCGCUGCCUUGACAGGGCAGAGGUCACUGGUUCGAAUCCAGUACGGUUCA